Molecule: ribosomal RNA, 497 nt
Filed under: uncultured bacterium
Lineage: Bacteria
Description: partial 16S ribosomal RNA
Rfam family: Bacterial small subunit ribosomal RNA
Source: RNAcentral
GACGAACGCUGGCGGCGUGCCUAAUACAUGCAAGUUGAGCGAUGAAGAUUGGUGCUUGCACCAAUUUGAAGAGCAGCGAACGGGUGAGUAAGGCGUGGGGAAUCUUCCUUUGAGCGGGGGACAACAUCUGGAAACGAAUGCUAAUACCGCAUAACAACUUUAAACAUAAGUUUUAAGUUUGAAAGAUGCAAUUGCAUCACUCAAGGAUGAUCCCGCGUUGUAUUAGCUAGCUGGUGAGGUAAAGGCUCACCAAGGCGAUGAUACAUAGCCGACCUGAGAGGGUGAUCGACCACAAUGGGACUGAAACACGGCCCAAGCUCCUUCGGGAAGCAGCAGGAGGGAAUCAUCGGCAAUGGACGAAAGUCUGACCGAGCAACGCCGCGGGAGGGAAGAAAGUUUUCGGAUCGUAAAACUCUGUUGGUAGAGAAGAACGUUGGUGAGAGUGGAAAGCUCAUCAAGUGACGGUAACUACCCAGAAAGGGACGGCUAACUACGUG